This 1963-nucleotide long non-coding RNA is filed under the name Equus caballus (horse). Its description in RNAcentral is "lncRNA (ENSECAG00000047221.1)". Lineage: Eukaryota; Metazoa; Chordata; Mammalia; Perissodactyla; Equidae. The record is from RNAcentral.
GAGUGAAUUUGUGCAUGGGCCCUUUAAGACCCGGGUCUUUUCGGCUUUCGGCUGAUAGCUUCUCUGGGGGUAUCCUCGCUGCAGUUAAUAGCCAGCAAAGCCGGACGUGACCCUUGAGGUGACUUCAUAGCAACUAGAGGUCUCCAUAGAUGGGAUUUGAAAGCCUUUUGUUGAGUCCAUCUCCAACUUUUCACAACUGAAGACACUGAGGAUUGGAAUUCAUGAAUGAUUUGAGCAAGAAGAUCAUACAACAAUCCAUUCCUGGGAUUUUUGUUCCCCAGCCCUCAGCUAAACAUGGUGGCUGGAAACUUCUUCAAGACAUUUUCUCCCGGUUCACUUCAUACCUUAAUCAUCUUCUUCUAGAAAUAUUCUCAGUUUUCCAUGAAAUUACCAGUCCUUUAGGGAAAUCAGUGUUCAUAGGCAAGAACAUUGGCAGACCACAGGUUGUUGCAACAUCUGUACAUUCUUGACCAGUAUUAUAUUUAUUGUUAUUGUUGUUAUCAUUUGGAGGGAUGGAGGUUGUGUGUGUGUGUUUUCAGAGUCAUGAAGGGUCUUGGCAUUUAAUUCUUUUUAAGAUCCAGAGGUUGGAAUUGUAUAGUUGAGGACACAUUUGGAUUUUAACAACUCCUUUUAGAAUGAAGUAUGAAGUAAUAUCCUAUUUAUAUCCAAGGUGAAUGCCAAAUUACAGUAUGAUGUCAUAUGUUGAAUUCCCUUAAUGAUCAGACAGGCAUGCAGCUUCCUUCAUGCACAGCUAACCCAGAGAUAAUCCAUGAACUGGAACUUCUUCAGCCCCUAGUGAUGCAGCUACAUGAUCCUGCCUUGACUUAGGUCAGGAGUGUCUGGCAGAGACUGAGACGACUCUGAUUUUGCUUGCUAUUGCUUCAGCCUUGUAGGGGAGGAAAAGGUUUUCCCUUGACUCUGUUAGGGUCCCUGACCGGGUCUGAAAAAUUAAACUGACACAGACAGAUUUACAGGAGAAAAGCAGACACAUUUAUUUAAUAUAAGUUUUAUGUGACACAGGAGCCUUCAUAAGGAAACAAAGACCCAAAGAAACACUUGGACCUGUGUAUUUUCAUGCACAUUUGAUGAAGAGUGGAUAGACGUGGAGGAUUACGAUAGGUUAAAGAGGAUGAGGUGAGGAUGUUGAAACACAGAUUGGGUCACCAGUCCAAAACCACAUGAUCAGCAGUACUAUGGAUUCCAAACACUCCGCCACCACGCUAAAUGUAGAGCUGCAGAGAAUCACAGGAUAAGAUCACCUCUAUGUGACACAGUGACUCACUGAGCUGGACGAGAAGUGAAGUCCAGGGAAGGAUUUGAAAAGAUAAAGGCUGUAGUCCAGAACUACGAGAAUGUGUGUAGCGCAGCCCUUGCAAACGGAAGGCAACAAGCAGAGAAAGAAGCUCUUUGAGUAGAAGGAGAUGCCUAGCGUCAUAAACGUUGCUAUUGACAUGAAGCUUCUUCAAGGUUGUGGCAUGUGGGACGCCACCUCAGCAUGGUUCGAUGAGCAGUGCCAUGUCCGCGCCCAGGACUCGAACCAACGAAACACUGGGCCGCCUGCAGCGGAGCGCGCGAACUUAACCACUCGGCCACGGGGCCAGCCCCUAUACUCGAUUUUUUAAUCCUGAAACAUGAUACUCUUCUAAUACCCAGAAGUUAUCAGAAAAGCAAUCUAUUUUUCAGACAUCCAGGAAGAAGGAAUGGAGAUCUCACGGAGCAUAUUUGAAUGUCCUGGUGGUAGAAAAACAAAAUUCGUUUUUGACUGUAUCCUACAGAGUUCAGUGUGUUUACUAAACCUCUUAGACAUCCUUAUUUACUUUUAUAAGAUAUUUUGCCACACAGCAUUCAAUUGUGUCCAGUUUUCCUCUCCAGUGGAGCUAUGUUCUGUUGUUAUGUUGAAAACUAAAAAUAUAAAUAUAGCCAUAUAGGAGCUACUAUUGAAAGUAAAACAAUAAAGUUUCAG